This 773-nucleotide ribosomal RNA is filed under the name uncultured Neisseria sp. RNAcentral describes it as "bacterial SSU rRNA". It matches the Rfam family "Bacterial small subunit ribosomal RNA", at positions 73 to 839 of the family's 1533-position model. The record is from RNAcentral. Lineage: Bacteria; Pseudomonadati; Pseudomonadota; Betaproteobacteria; Neisseriales; Neisseriaceae.
GAGAAGCUUGCUUCUUGGGUGGCGAGUGGCGAACGGGUGAGUAAUAUAUCGGAACGUACCGAGCAGUGGGGGAUAACUAAUCGAAGGAUUAGCUAAUACCGCAUAUUUUCUGAGGAAGAAAGCAGGGGACCAUUUGGCCUUGUGCUGUUUGAGCGGCCGAUAUCUGAUUAGCUAGUUGGUGGGGUAAAGGCCUACCAAGGCGACGAUCAGUAGCGGGUCUGAGAGGAUGAUCCGCCACACUGGGACUGAGACACGGCCCAGACUCCUACGGGAGGCAGCAGUGGGGAAUUUUGGACAAUGGGCGCAAGCCUGAUCCAGCCAUGCCGCGUGUCUGAAGAAGGCCUUCGGGUUGUAAAGGACUUUUGUCAGGGAAGAAAAGGAUAGGGUUAAUACCCCUGUCUGAUGACGGUACCUGAAGAAUAAGCACCGGCUAACUACGUGCCAGCAGCCGCGGUAAUACGUAGGGUGCGAGCGUUAAUCGGAAUUACUGGGCGUAAAGCGGGCGCAGACGGUUACUUAAGCAGGAUGUGAAAUCCCCGGGCUCAACCUGGGAACUGCGUUCUGAACUGGGUGACUAGAGUGUGUCAGAGGGAGGUAGAAUUCCACGUGUAGCAGUGAAAUGCGUAGAGAUGUGGAGGAAUACCGAUGGCGAAGGCAGCCUCCUGGGAUAACACUGACGUUCAUGCCCGAAAGCGCGGGUAGCAAACAGGAUUAGAUACCCUGGUAGUCCACGCCCUAAACGAUGUCGAUUAGCUGUUGGGCAGCUUGACUGC